UGGGGAAUAUUGCGCAAUGGGCGAAAGCCUGACGCAGCAACACCGCGUGAGGGAUGACGGCCUUCGGGUUGUAAACCUCUUUCAGCUCCGACGAAGCGAAAGUGACGGUAGGAGCAGAAGAAGCACCGGCUAACUACGUGCCAGCAGCCGCGGUAAUACGUAGGGUGCAAGCGUUAUCCGGAUUUAUUGGGCGUAAAGAGCUCGUAGGCGGUUCGGUAAGUCGGGUGUGAAAACUCUGGGCUCAACCCAGAGAGGCCACUCGAUACUGCUGUGACUAGAGUGCGGUAGGGGAGCGGGGAAUUCCUGGUGUAGCGGUGAAAUGCGCAGAUAUCAGGAGGAACACCAGUGGCGAAGGCGCCGCUCUGGGCCGUAACUGACGCUGAGGAGCGAAAGCAUGGGUAGCAAAGCAGGAUUAGAUACCCUGGUAGUCCAUGCCGUAAACGUUGGGCACUAGGUGUGGGUCUCAACCAACGAGAUCCGCGCCGU
This 486-nucleotide ribosomal RNA is filed under the name uncultured bacterium. Its description in RNAcentral is "bacterial SSU rRNA". It matches the Rfam family "Bacterial small subunit ribosomal RNA", at positions 355 to 849 of the family's 1533-position model. The record is from RNAcentral.